UUUAGAAAUAAAAACACAGUUUUGGUUGGUAGUCCAAACGCAAAUUAUUUUGUCAGUAACCUUCCUCCGGGUCGUCCAUUUUCUAUCUUAU
This 91-nucleotide non-coding RNA is filed under the name uncultured Ligilactobacillus sp. RNAcentral's name for it is "yjdF RNA". It matches the Rfam family "azaaromatic riboswitch aptamer (yjdF RNA)". The record is from RNAcentral. Lineage: Bacteria; Bacillati; Bacillota; Bacilli; Lactobacillales; Lactobacillaceae.